Molecule: long non-coding RNA, 1845 nt
Organism: Fundulus heteroclitus (mummichog)
Lineage: Eukaryota; Metazoa; Chordata; Actinopteri; Cyprinodontiformes; Fundulidae
Exons: 5
Source: RefSeq, a predicted model, not a curated record
UUUGCAAACACAAUCACGUUCUUAAAUGGAAAUGCGGGGCUUUAAACAAAUCUUACAUCUCUCCCCUUCCAUUCGCCCAAAACUCUGCAAUCAGGCGCAUGUUCCGCUCCUUCUAAAACAGGAGCUGCUUUUUGGGGAAGGUGCCAUUUUAAUCAUUCACCUAAAAGAAAUGUUUUUUUCUUUUUCCUUUUUUAUCUCAGCCCCAUGCGACUGUUCUUUUUUUUUCUAUUUACAGGAGUUACUCUGCUCUGCUGUUCAUUUUAAUCCGGAACUUCAUGACUAAACGAUAGUUUUCACCGUGAGACAGCUGCGGGAAUGCGUUGCAGAAUAUGAGAAACGCGACAACUGGCAGACUACAUGGCAUGCGUAAUAGGCACUAAAUAUGCAAUUGCCAAAAGAAAAAGCUGCUGGUUGGCCAUCCAUUUUGAACACUAAAUCGUCCCGUUCUUUUCAGACCUUGCUUUGCUGAGCUGCUUGCCAGCAUGGAGGCCACGACCCCAAACCGACGCUCCAGGAGUGUUUGGACCAAGCCAUGGGAGGAACAAAAAGGAUGGAACCUCACCAACAAACUAAUGAGACUGGUAAAGAAAAUCUAAAUAGCAGAACGCAGAGUAUUAACCCCUUUACAUACACAGCACCCAGGAAGGAGGAGUUUCACAUCUGGAAUGGCUGUGAUGUCAUAGAGCUACAGAGUGUGGUGCACAUCAGCUUUCUUUCUCUUUUGCACUUGUUGCAUCAGGGAGGAGACCACCAGCGAAAAAUAAAGCUAGCUGCCUGGACCUAGCUUGUCUUGAGUUCCUGCCAGAAAGAAUUAUAGAUUUCCAAGAAGACCUGCUGUCCCUUCUUAAGUCAACAAAGUGGUCUCCCUUCUUCCGUCCUGAGAGAAGAUGACAUUUGAAACUACAACCUGCUCGCUGCCGCAUCUCCUCCCCCAGCUGCUGCAGAGAGCGGUCCGCCACGCAACUGACUGACCAUCAGACGUCCUCCUCUGUUGAUCAGAAUGAGAGUACAGCAAAAGGUCGUGCUUGGGCUGAAAAAGUGGGUUUUGGAUAAAACAUUUUAUAUAUUGACAAUUUCACUCUGUUUUACUAAGUAAUUUGUUUUGUAAAGUUGACGUGUAAAAAGUUACUUUCCUGCUGCAACAUAUGCUUAAUCUGAUUUUUCUGUGUUUUCCCUGCAUCUCCUUUCACUAAUCUACAUAAAAUACAUCUGACAGUCUUGAAAAAUGCGCUAAGUCAAGUUAAAAUCUCUUCUGAUGCUAAGAUGAUAGCCAACAUUAGUGCUGCCAGAACUUAAUCACACAUAAAUACUUUUAUUAAUGGUACUUAAAGUUAUAUGUUCCUUAACAGGGUUGUUUAGGAACACUACAGCUAAUUUCUUCUUUUUACUGUUAGCUGAACUACCAAGCGUUGUUCACCGUCGUGUUAGAGUGCAAAUGUGUCUUGGAACUCAGUCCAUCACUGCAUGAACUACUGUGAUGGCUAGCUCACACAAAAAUAAGAAGCAAUUGACCAAAAGGGUUAAUCAUCUCUAAUUUGGCAAAUUAUCAGUUGUACAUCAUUUUAUUAAAAGAAAAAUGUUCUCUUCUGCUUUGCAUUGAGAAGUGGUUGUUCAAACACAAAAUCAAAUGUUACAAUUAAUUAGUAAAGUUUGACCGAAAUGCCAAUCUGGCAAAAUGAACUAGGGUUUUUAAACAUACAUAAUUACUCUGACCUGUAAUAUCACUACACGGAUUGAUGGGUUUUCAGUUUUAUUCUUUAGUUUCCCUUUUUUGUAGCCUAUCAGUUUUCCCUUACUCUUUUCAUUUUUACCCAGUUACCAGUUUGGCAAAACAAUGUGUUUACU